CCUACGGGAGGCAGCAGUGAGGAAUAUUGGACAAUGGACGAGAGUCUGAAGCAGCGAAGUCGCGUGAACGAUGACUGCCCUAGGGGUUGUAAGCUUCUUUUAUAUGGGAAUAAAACAGGGUAUGCAUACACUAUUGUAUGUACCAUAUGGAUCAGGCACGGCUAACUACGUGCCAGCAGCCGCGGUAAUACGGAGGGGCCGAGCGUUAUCCGGAUGUAUUGGGUUUAAAGGGAGCGUAGGUGGAUUGUUAAGUCAGUUGUGAAAGUUCGCGGCUCAACCGUAAAAUUGCAGUUGAUACUGGAAGUCUAGAGUGUCGGAGAGGCGGGCGGAAUUCGUGGUGUAGCGGUGAAAUGCGUAGAUAUUACGAAGAACUCCGAUGGCGAAGGCAGCCUACUGGACGGCAACUGACAUUGAUGCUCGAAAGUGUGGGGAUCAAACAGGAUUAGAUACCCGGGUAGUC
RNAcentral lists this ribosomal RNA (460 nucleotides) under uncultured bacterium. RNAcentral's name for it is "partial 16S ribosomal RNA". It matches the Rfam family "Bacterial small subunit ribosomal RNA", at positions 338 to 795 of the family's 1533-position model. The record is from RNAcentral.